AGUGAACGCUGGCGGUAGGCCUAACACAUGCAAGUCGAACGGCAGCACAGUAAGCGCUUGCUCUUACGGGUGGCGAGUGGCGGACGGGUGAGGAAUACAUCGGCAUCUACUUUUUCGUGGGGGAUAACGUAGGGACACUUACGCUACUACCGCAUACGACCUACGGGUGAAAUCAGGGGAUCUUCGGACCUUUCGCGAUUCUUUUAGCCGAUGUCGCAUUAGCUAGUUGGCGGGGUAAAGGCCCACCAAGGCGACGAUCCGUAGCUGGUCUGAGAGGAUGAUCAGCCACACUGGAACUGAGACACGGUCCAGACUCCUACGGGAGGCAGCAGUGGGGAAUAUUGAACAAUGGGCGCAAGCCUGAUCCAGCCAUACCGCGUGGGUGAAGAAGGUCUUCGGGUUGUAAAGCCCUGUUGUUGGGAAAGAAAAGCAGCAGGUUAAUACCCCGCUGUUCUGACGGUACCCAAAGAAUAAGCACCGGCUAACUUCGUG
RNAcentral lists this ribosomal RNA (492 nucleotides) under uncultured bacterium. Its description in RNAcentral is "partial 16S ribosomal RNA". It matches the Rfam family "Bacterial small subunit ribosomal RNA", at positions 29 to 507 of the family's 1533-position model. The record is from RNAcentral.